GCAAACUUGGUCAUUUAGAGGAAGUAAAAGUCGUAACAAGGUCUCCGUAGGUGAACCUGCGGAGGGAUCAUCAAAGGAAAUUCUUUUUUUUUGACAAGGAUUUGUUCUCUAGUAGUAGAGUGUGGAUCCUUGUUAAAAAAACAAACAAAUAUACACAUGACUAGGAAAAAGAGGAGAUGUGACAAAAAAAAAAGUUCCUGACUGAUAAGUUUGUUCUGGUUUGGAAGAAGAGAAAUAAAACUUUCAACAACGGAUCUCUUGGCUCUCACAUCGAUGAAGAACGCAGC
This 287-nucleotide unclassified non-coding RNA is filed under the name uncultured fungus. Its description in RNAcentral is "partial contains small subunit ribosomal RNA, internal transcribed spacer 1, and 5.8S ribosomal RNA". The stretch from base 1 to 73 matches the Rfam family "Eukaryotic small subunit ribosomal RNA", at positions 1759 to 1831 of the family's 1831-position model. Lineage: Eukaryota; Fungi. The record is from RNAcentral.